CUGCGGGGGAAGAGCAACAGGGAUUGCCUUAGUAACGGCGAGUGAAGCGGCAAAAGCUCAGAUUUGAAAUCUGGUGCCAUAGAGGCAUCUGAGUUGUAAUCUGUAGAGGAGUAUUCGAGUGUGGCUUUGGCUUAAGUUCCUUGGAACAGGGCGUCAAAGAGGGUGAGAACCCCGUUUGCGGCCUUUGUCUUAUGCUCAUGUGAAUCUCCUUCAACGAGUCGAGUUGUUUGGGAAUGCAGCUCUAAAUGGGUGGUAAAUUCCAUCUAAAGCUAAAUACUGGCAAGAGACCGAUAGCGCACAAGUAGAGUGAUCGAAAGAUGAAAAGAUCUCUGAACAGAGAGUUAAAUAGUACGUGAAAUUGUUGAAAGGGAAGCACUUGCUACCAGACACACUUGCAAUUAAUCAGCCUCCAUUUUUGGUGGUGCACUUGGUUGUAGGUGGGUCAGCAUCAGUUAUAGCGGUAGGAAAAAGACAUUGGGAAUGUGGCUUCUCUUGGGAAGUGUUAUAGCCCAAAGUGUAAUGCUGCCUGCUGUGACUGAGGACCGCGCUUUGGUGAGGAUGCUGGCAUAAUGGUUGUAAGUGACCCGUCUUGAAACACGGACCAAGGAGUCUAACAUCUAUGCGAGUGUUUGGGUGUAAAAACCCUUGCGCGGAAUGAAAGUGAAUGGAGGUGGGAACCGUAAGGUGCACCAUCGACCGAUCCUGAUGUUUUCGGAUGGAUUUGAGUAGGAGCAUAGCUGUUGGGACCCGAAAGAUGGUGAACUAUGCCUGAAUAGGGUGAAGCCAGAGGAAACUCUGGUGGAGGCUCGCAGCGGUUCUGACGUGCAAAUCGAUCGUCAAAUUUGGGUAUAGGGGCGAAAGACUAAUCGAACCAUCUAGUAGCUGGUUCCGGCCGAGUUUCCUAAGGAAAAGACCCAAAAACAAGCUACUAGAAUGGUUCGAUUAAGUCUUUCGGCCCCUAUAACCAAAUUUGAAGCAUCGAUUUGCCGUCAGAACGCUGCGAGCAUCCACCAGCAGUUUCUCUGGGCUUCACCCUAUUCAGGCAUAGUUCACAUCUUUCGGUCCAACAGCUAUGGCUCUACUCAAUCAUCGAAAACAUCAGGAUGGAUGCAUGGGUGACGUACGGGUCACUCCAUUCCUUUCAUCGGCAAGGUUUUACCAACCUCGCAUAAGUUAGAUUUGGAUCGGUUCGAAGGCUUACACUUUAUGCCAACUUCCAAGCGACUCA
This 1228-nucleotide ribosomal RNA is filed under the name Paragalactinia michelii. Its description in RNAcentral is "partial large subunit ribosomal RNA". It matches the Rfam family "Eukaryotic large subunit ribosomal RNA", at positions 48 to 1107 of the family's 3401-position model. Lineage: Eukaryota; Fungi; Ascomycota; Pezizomycetes; Pezizales; Pezizaceae. The record is from RNAcentral.